ACAUGCAAGUCGAGCGCACUUCGGGGGCGAGCGGCGGACGGGUUAGUAACGCGUGGGAAUGUACCCUUCUCUAAGGAAUAGCCACUGGAAACGGUGAGUAAUACCUUAUACGCCCUUUUGGGGAAAGAUUUAUCGGAGAAGGAUCAGCCCGCGUAAGAUUAGAUAGUUGGUGGGGUAAUGGCCUACCAAGUCUACGAUCUUUAGCUGGUUUUAGAGGAUGAUCAGCAACACUGGGACUGAGACACGGCCCAGACUCUACGGGAGGCAGCAGUGGGGAAUCUUGGACAAUGGGCGCAAGCCUGAUCCAGCCAUGCCGCGUGUGUGAUGAAGGCCUUAGGGUCGUAAAGCACUUUCGCUAGAGAUGAUAAUGACAGUAUCUAGUAAAGAAGUCCCGGCUAACUCCGUGCCAGCAGCCGCGGUAAUACGGAGGGGACUAGCGUUGUUCGGAAUUACUGGGCGUAAAGCGUACGUAGGCGGAUCAGAAAGUAUGGGGUGAAAUCCCAGGGCUCAACCCUGGAACUGCCUCAUAAACUCCUGGUCUAGAGUUCGAGAGAGGUGAGUGGAAUUCCGAGUGUAGAGGUGAAAUUCGUAGAUAUUCGGAGGAACACCAGUGGCGAAGGCGGCUCACUGGCUCGAUACUGACGCUGAGGUACGAAAGUGUGGGGAGCAAACAGGAUUAGAUAYCCUGGUAGUCCACACYGUAAACGAUGAAUGCCAGUCGUCGGGCAGUAUACUGUUCGGUGACACACUAACGGAUUAAGC
RNAcentral lists this ribosomal RNA (762 nucleotides) under deepsea sediment bacterium J100. RNAcentral describes it as "bacterial SSU rRNA". It matches the Rfam family "Bacterial small subunit ribosomal RNA", at positions 53 to 865 of the family's 1533-position model. The record is from RNAcentral.